This is a long non-coding RNA of Gavialis gangeticus (Gharial), 104 nucleotides long. RefSeq lists it as uncharacterized. The record is from RefSeq and is a predicted model, not a curated record. NCBI's taxonomy places the organism in Eukaryota, Metazoa, Chordata, Crocodylia, Gavialidae. The transcript has 3 exons.
UUUAAGUGGGUCUAAUAAAAGAUAUCAGAUUCACCCAAGGAACCUUGUCUGCCUGGGUCCUCAGACCAACGCGGCUACAACCUACACCCCUGUCUUCUUACAUA